GAACGCUAGCGACAGGCCUAACACAUGCAAGUCGGAGGGGCAGCACAAGGAGCAAUCUGAGGUGGCGACCGGCGCACGGGUGAGUAACACGUAUGACAACCUGCCUAGUAAGCGGGGAAUAACCCGUUGAAAGACGGACUAAUACCGCAUAAUACUAAAUUACUGCAUGGUAAUUUAUUUAAACAUUUAUGGCUUACAGAUGGGCAUGCGCAUGAUUAGCUAGUUGGAGAGGUAACGGCUCCCCAAGGCAACGAUCAUUAGGGGUUCUGAGAGGAAGGUCCCCCCACACUGGUACUGAGACACGGACCAGACUCCUACGGGAGGCAGCAGUGAGGAAUAUUGGUCAAUGGACGAGAGUCUGAACCAGCCAAGUCGCGUGCAGGAAGAAUGUCCCUAUGGAUUGUAAACUACUUUUGCAGGGGAAUAAAGUGCAUCACGUGUGAUGUUUUGUAUGUACUCUGCGAAUAAGGAUCGGCUAACUCCGUGCCAGCAGCUGC
RNAcentral lists this ribosomal RNA (497 nucleotides) under uncultured bacterium. RNAcentral describes it as "bacterial SSU rRNA". It matches the Rfam family "Bacterial small subunit ribosomal RNA", at positions 31 to 518 of the family's 1533-position model. The record is from RNAcentral.